UACGUAGGGUGCAAGCGUUAUUCGGAAUUACUGGGCGUAAAGCGUGCGCAGGCGGCUUUGUAAGUCAGAUGUGAAAUCCCCGGGCUUAACCUGGGAACUGCAUUUGUGACUGCAUGGCUGGAGUGCGGCAGAGGGGGAUGGAAUUCCGCGUGUAGCAGUGAAAUGCGUAGAUAUACGGAGGAACACCGAUGGCGAAGGCAAUCCCCUGGGCCUGCACUGACGCUCAUGCACGAAAGCGUGGGGAGCAAACAGG
RNAcentral lists this ribosomal RNA (253 nucleotides) under uncultured bacterium. Its description in RNAcentral is "partial 16S ribosomal RNA". It matches the Rfam family "Bacterial small subunit ribosomal RNA", at positions 524 to 776 of the family's 1533-position model. The record is from RNAcentral.